GAUGUAACAAUAGCCUAAGUCAUUAGGGAUUUAUUUUUUUCUUUUAAUUAUUCUAGUUAUCCUGAUCAAAAGUGGGAUUGGUGGAUAGUUACAUUCCUGCCUGUGAAGGAUGCACCUGUGUCCCACACCUUGGCAUGCAGCAAGGUGUGUUCCCAGCACCAUUCUUAUGUAACAGGGGCUACCCCUCCACUUCCUUUCCUUGCUGGUUUCCUGAGCCCUGCUUUUAGAGGUGAUGCUGUCCAUGCUGCCCCAUGUUUCUUCCUCCAUGGGACAAGUCCAGCCUCCUGAAUUCUCUUUCCAGCCCCUCAAGGAGUAAGCAGCAGUAUUUAAAGCCUUGACUCCCAGGAAGACCACGCUGGUUGCAGUGACUGCACUUCAGCAAGGACACUGGGAAAUGAAGUCUUCAAAUCACAGUCAAGAUAAAGGGCAGCCAACAGUGUAAUUUGAAUUAUCUUUUCUUUGCAAAAUGAAAGAUCUUCAGAAGAAUAAGAAAAUCUUCCAGAAAAGUCUGAGAAAAAUAAAGCAAAAAAAGAGUUCCU
Taeniopygia guttata (zebra finch) is the source of this 539-nucleotide non-coding RNA. The record is from RefSeq and is a predicted model, not a curated record. NCBI's taxonomy places the organism in Eukaryota, Metazoa, Chordata, Aves, Passeriformes, Estrildidae.